UCGAUUCCCUUAGUAGCGGCGAGCGAAACGGGAAGAGCCCAAACCAACAAGCUUGCUUGUUGGGGUUGUAGGACACUCUAUACGGAGUUACAAAGGACGACAUUAGACGAAUCAUCUGGAAAGAUGAAUCAAAGAAGGUAAUAAUCCUGUAGUCGAAAAUGUUGUCUCUCUUGAGUGGAUCCUGAGUACGACGGAGCACGUGAAAUUCCGUCGGAAUCUGGGAGGACCAUCUCCUAAGGCUAAAUACUCUCUAGUGACCGAUAGUGAACCAGUACCGUGAGGGAAAGGUGAAAAGCACCCCGGAAGGGGAGUGAAAUAGAACCUGAAACCGUGUGCUUACAAGUAGUCAGAGCCCGUUAAUGGGUGAUGGCGUGCCUUUUGUAGAAUGAACCGGCGAGUUACGAUUUGAUGCAAGGUUAAGCAGUAAAUGUGGAGCCGUAGCGAAAGCGAGUCUGAAUAGGGCGUUUAGUAUUUGGUCGUAGACCCGAAACCAGGUGAUCUACCCUUGGUCAGGUUGAAGUUCAGGUAACACUGAAUGGAGGACCGAACCGACUUACGUUGAAAAGUGAGCGGAUGAACUGAGGGUAGCGGAGAAAUUCCAAUCGAACCUGGAGAUAGCUGGUUCUCUCCGAAAUAGCUUUAGGGCUAGCCUCAAGUGAUGAUUAUUGGAGGUAGAGCACUGUUUGGACGAGGGGCCCCUCUCGGGUUACCGAAUUCAGACAAACUCCGAAUGCCAAUUAAUUUAACUUGGGAGUCAGAACAUGGGUGAUAAGGUCCGUGUUCGAAAGGGAAACAGCCCAGACCACCAGCUAAGGUCCCAAAAUAUAUGUUAAGUGGAAAAGGAUGUGGCGUUGCCCAGACAACUAGGAUGUUGGCUUAGAAGCAGCCAUCAUUUAAAGAGUGCGUAAUAGCUCACUAGUCGAGUGACACUGCGCCGAAAAUGUACCGGGGCUAAACAUAUUACCGAAGCUGUGGAUUGUCCUUUGGACAAUGGUAGGAGAGCGUUCUAAGGGCGUUGAAGCAUGAUCGUAAGGACAUGUGGAGCGCUUAGAAGUGAGAAUGCCGGUGUGAGUAGCGAAAGACGGGUGAGAAUCCCGUCCACCGAUUGACUAAGGUUUCCAGAGGAAGGCUCGUCCGCUCUGGGUUAGUCGGGUCCUAAGCUGAGGCCGACAGGCGUAGGCGAUGGAUAACAGGUUGAUAUUCCUGUACCACCUAUAAUCGUUUUAAUCGAUGGGGGGACGCAGUAGGAUAGGCGAAGCGUGCGAUUGGAUUGCACGUCUAAGCAGUAAGGCUGAGUAUUAGGCAAAUCCGGUACUCGUUAAGGCUGAGCUGUGAUGGGGAGAAGACAUUGUGUCUU
RNAcentral lists this ribosomal RNA (1357 nucleotides) under Staphylococcus aureus. RNAcentral describes it as "bacterial LSU rRNA". It matches the Rfam family "Bacterial large subunit ribosomal RNA", at positions 231 to 1585 of the family's 2925-position model. Lineage: Bacteria; Bacillati; Bacillota; Bacilli; Caryophanales; Staphylococcaceae. The record is from RNAcentral.